UACGUAGGGGGCAAGCGUUGUCCGGAUUUAUUGGGCGUAAAGAGCGUGUAGGCGGCCAUUCAGGUCAGCUGUGAAAACUCGAGGCUCAACCUCGAGACGUCGGUUGAAACCGUUUGGCUAGAGUCCGGAAGAGGAGAGUGGAAUUCCCGGUGUAGCGGUGAAAUGCGUAGAGAUCGGAAAGAACACCAACGGCGAAAGCACUCUGCUGGGCCGACACUGACACUGAGAGACGAAAGCUAGGGGAGCGAAUGGG
This 253-nucleotide ribosomal RNA is filed under the name uncultured bacterium. Its description in RNAcentral is "partial 16S ribosomal RNA". It matches the Rfam family "Bacterial small subunit ribosomal RNA", at positions 524 to 776 of the family's 1533-position model. The record is from RNAcentral.